GGGAUCUUCAGACUGAGAAGGCCACCACGUUGCAGCUCUGGUCUCAGUGCGUAUUCCUGCCAGUUUAGGAGCUAGGUCUUCCAUGAGACCUGAGAUUCCACAUUUCCAACAGACUCCUUGGUGAUGGAUCCCCCAUAGACCAGAUGCUGCUGUUCUGAGGACCACACUGACAGUCUCUGUGACAUGGAGCACUUUGAAGAAAAUGUCCACGUAAUCUUGUUUUUUAUGCUUUCAAUGACUGCACAGCAUAACAAGAACUGGAAGUGAAGGUGAAUGGUAUCAUAGCCCACGUGGACACAAUAUAAUGGAAUUAUGGAUGCAGCUGACAAUAGAAACACACAAACAUCAAAAAGUAAAACAAAUGUUUGGCUUAGGUAACAAUUUGCAUCCCUGAGGAGAGGUUUGAAGCAUCUUAUUUUGACUUUCAAGGGAUGAAAUCAACGACUAAAACACUUGUAUGGCAAGUGAGUCUGUUUUAUAUUUUGUGUUGCUGCCUGCUGAUUCUUCACAGUUUUCUCUUGUUUAACAAUUUAUUGUAGCAUGGGCCCAUUCUAGCUCAUUUUUAAAUUAUUCCCUCAGGCUUUUAUAAUAGACUAUGAAACCCUGUUUGCGUGAACACAAACGACACUUUGCUUCCAAUAUGUUUAAGCACUUCCCAUAUAAGGAGAAAAAAGUUUGCCCUGAGAUAAUUACUAAUAUGGUCAUCAGAUCUGGUGGUGAUCUCUCAAGUAAUAAAACCUUGA
Molecule: long non-coding RNA, 743 nt
Organism: Physeter macrocephalus (sperm whale)
Lineage: Eukaryota; Metazoa; Chordata; Mammalia; Artiodactyla; Physeteridae
Exons: 3
Source: RefSeq, a predicted model, not a curated record